GCUGGGUGUGCUGGCACACGCCUGUAAUCUCAGCUACUUGGGAAACUGAGACAGGAGGAUCUUGAGUUGGAGACUGGACUGGCAACUUAGUGAGUCCCUGUCUCAA
Molecule: small RNA, 106 nt
Filed under: Marmota monax (woodchuck)
Lineage: Eukaryota; Metazoa; Chordata; Mammalia; Rodentia; Sciuridae
Source: RNAcentral